Long non-coding RNA from Nerophis lumbriciformis (worm pipefish), 204 nucleotides. RefSeq lists it as uncharacterized. Lineage: Eukaryota; Metazoa; Chordata; Actinopteri; Syngnathiformes; Syngnathidae. The record is from RefSeq and is a predicted model, not a curated record.
GCAAAUGUUACCUUGCGAGUUUACACUGCAGCAUCAUCAAGUGCAACGUUUCAGUUCAUGGACAUCGAAGCAAGAGGAGGAAAAGAGUCACCACGCAGCUGCAUGACCAUUUCAACAAAGACGGAAUAAACAACCUCUGGAUUCAUGGAACUUCUCUGCACACAAAUAUAUUAAUUGGAAUAUUCAAUAAAUUUCACAUAGAAA